GGGCGGGUAGGAUGCGGCUGCUCUGGCCCAAAGCCGGAGAGGAAAGUCCGGGCUCCGGAGGAUAGCGUAGUGGGUAAUACCCAUCACUCAGCCCAGGUAAACUGGGAUUGGGGAGGAUGAGAGCCACAGAGACGAGUCCGGCCUGAAAAGGCCGGGGUGAAACGGGGCAAUCUCUACGCGGAGAAAGGCAGAAUAGGAGACGAGCCCGCCAUUAUAGAUGGCGGACAGGCGCUGAUCCGGCGCGUCAUUAGUCUCGGGUAAGCUGCUUGAGUCCCGGGGGCGACCCCUGGAUCGAGAGGAAUGGCCGAUAAGGAUGCGAAAAAUCGCAUUGACACAGAACCCGGCUUAUUCUACCCGCUCUUUA
This 364-nucleotide RNase P RNA is filed under the name Candidatus Omnitrophota bacterium. RNAcentral's name for it is "Candidatus Omnitrophica bacterium RNase P RNA component class A". It matches the Rfam family "Bacterial RNase P class A". From Rfam's summary of the family: Ribonuclease P (RNase P) is a ubiquitous endoribonuclease, found in archaea, bacteria and eukarya as well as chloroplasts and mitochondria. Its best characterised activity is the generation of mature 5'-ends of tRNAs by cleaving the 5'-leader elements of precursor-tRNAs. Lineage: Bacteria; Pseudomonadati; Candidatus Omnitrophota. The record is from RNAcentral.